This 261-nucleotide ribosomal RNA is filed under the name Salmonella enterica. RNAcentral's name for it is "partial 16S ribosomal RNA". It matches the Rfam family "Bacterial small subunit ribosomal RNA", at positions 997 to 1258 of the family's 1533-position model. Lineage: Bacteria; Pseudomonadati; Pseudomonadota; Gammaproteobacteria; Enterobacterales; Enterobacteriaceae. RNAcentral also lists the same sequence under 5 other names. The record is from RNAcentral.
UUUCCAGAGAUGGAUUGGUGCCUUCGGGAACUGUGAGACAGGUGCUGCAUGGCUGUCGUCAGCUCGUGUUGUGAAAUGUUGGGUUAAGUCCCGCAACGAGCGCAACCCUUAUCCUUUGUUGCCAGCGGUUAGGCCGGGAACUCAAAGGAGACUGCCAGUGAUAAACUGGAGGAAGGUGGGGAUGACGUCAAGUCAUCAUGGCCCUUACGACCAGGGCUACACACGUGCUACAAUGGCGCAUACAAAGAGAAGCGACCUCGC